UUUGAGAUUGAUUUUGUCUUAGUUUUGAUUAAAUUAAUUGUUAAAUAAUAUUAAAUAUGAAUUUUUGUGUGAUUUUGUUUUAUCUAAAUGAUAAUUUUGUUUAUAUUUGUAGUUUUUAGUUUUGAUUAACAGAUGAUUCUGGAAUCAGUUAAUUUAUUUUAGGAUUGUUUAAGGUUAUGCCAGCAAACGCGGUUAUAUAAUCAAUCCAAAUUAAUUUUUUUGGUUAUUAUUUAUUUAUUAUUUUUGAAGGUUAAUGUAUGUUUUAAAGGUGAAAUUUUAAAUAUACUUAUAUUUUUUAGGUUGAGAUUAUAGGAAGGUUAGUUAAAAAACUAGGAUUAGAUACCCUAUUAUUCUAACUGUGAAUUGUUGACCAUAGUACUAUUAGUUAAGGUCUUUAAAUUAAAAGGAUUUGGCGGUAAUUUAGUCUUUUCAGAGGAAUCUGUUCUGUGAUUGAUAAUCCACGUUGGAUUUAACUUUAAUUAUCAUUUGUAUAUCUCUGUCAUUGAAUGUUUUAUUAGGAUAUUUUCUUUUAUUAUUAUUUAAUAAAUGUCAGGUCAAGGUGCAGUUAUAUUAAAGGUUGAAAUGGAUUACAUUUAAUUUUAUUUAUUGGAUUAUAUGUGUUGGAUAUGAAUAUGUUAUGAAAAAGGAUUUGAAAGUAAUUUUUUUUAUUUUAUAAUAAUGAUUUUAGCUCUAAAUUAUGUACACAUCGCCCGUCAUUCUCAUUUUUAAGAUGAGAUAAGUCGUAACAAAGUAAUUUUACCGGAAGGUGAAGUU
Molecule: non-coding RNA, 774 nt
Filed under: Laminiceps obscurior
Lineage: Eukaryota; Metazoa; Arthropoda; Insecta; Hemiptera; Coreidae
Source: RNAcentral